This 2902-nucleotide ribosomal RNA is filed under the name Klebsiella quasipneumoniae. RNAcentral's name for it is "23S ribosomal RNA". It matches the Rfam family "Bacterial large subunit ribosomal RNA". Lineage: Bacteria; Pseudomonadati; Pseudomonadota; Gammaproteobacteria; Enterobacterales; Enterobacteriaceae. The record is from RNAcentral.
GGUUAAGCGACUAAGCGUACACGGUGGAUGCCCUGGCAGUCAGAGGCGAUGAAGGACGUGCUAAUCUGCGAAAAGCGUCGGUAAGGUGAUAUGAACCGUUAUAACCGGCGAUGUCCGAAUGGGGAAACCCAGUGCAAUUCGUUGCACUAUCGUUAACUGAAUACAUAGGUUAACGAGGCGAACCGGGGGAACUGAAACAUCUAAGUACCCCGAGGAAAAGAAAUCAACCGAGAUUCCCCCAGUAGCGGCGAGCGAACGGGGAGCAGCCCAGAGUCUGAAUCAGCUUGUGUGUUAGUGGAACGGUCUGGAAAGUCCGACGGUACAGGGUGAUAGUCCCGUACACCAAAAUGCACAGGUUGUGAACUCGAAGAGUAGGGCGGGACACGUGGUAUCCUGUCUGAAUAUGGGGGGACCAUCCUCCAAGGCUAAAUACUCCUGACUGACCGAUAGUGAACCAGUACCGUGAGGGAAAGGCGAAAAGAACCCCGGCGAGGGGAGUGAAAAAGAACCUGAAACCGUGUACGUACAAGCAGUGGGAGCACCUUCGGGUGUGACUGCGUACCUUUUGUAUAAUGGGUCAGCGACUUAUAUUCUGUAGCAAGGUUAACCGUAUAGGGGAGCCGCAGGGAAACCGAGUCUUAACUGGGCGUUAAGUUGCAGGGUAUAGACCCGAAACCCGGUGAUCUAGCCAUGGGCAGGUUGAAGGUUGGGUAACACUAACUGGAGGACCGAACCGACUAAUGUUGAAAAAUUAGCGGAUGACUUGUGGCUGGGGGUGAAAGGCCAAUCAAACCGGGAGAUAGCUGGUUCUCCCCGAAAGCUAUUUAGGUAGCGCCUCGUGAACUCAUCUUCGGGGGUAGAGCACUGUUUCGGCUAGGGGGUCAUCCCGACUUACCAACCCGAUGCAAACUACGAAUACCGAAGAAUGUUAUCACGGGAGACACACGGCGGGUGCUAACGUCCGUCGUGAAGAGGGAAACAACCCAGACCGCCAGCUAAGGUCCCAAAGUCAUGGUUAAGUGGGAAACGAUGUGGGAAGGCACAGACAGCCAGGAUGUUGGCUUAGAAGCAGCCAUCAUUUAAAGAAAGCGUAAUAGCUCACUGGUCGAGUCGGCCUGCGCGGAAGAUGUAACGGGGCUAAACCAUGCACCGAAGCUGCGGCAGCGACACGAUGUGUUGUUGGGUAGGGGAGCGUUCUGUAAGCCUGCGAAGGUGGCCUGUGAGGGUUGCUGGAGGUAUCAGAAGUGCGAAUGCUGACAUAAGUAACGAUAAAGCGGGUGAAAAGCCCGCUCGCCGGAAGACCAAGGGUUCCUGUCCAACGUUAAUCGGGGCAGGGUGAGUCGACCCCUAAGGCGAGGCCGAAAGGCGUAGUCGAUGGGAAACAGGUUAAUAUUCCUGUACUUGGUGUUACUGCGAAGGGGGGACGGAGAAGGCUAUGUUAGCCGGGCGACGGUUGUCCCGGUUUAAGCAUGUAGGCUGGUUAUCCAGGCAAAUCCGGAUAAUCAAGGCUGAGGUGUGAUGACGAGGCACUACGGUGCUGAAGUAACAAAUGCCCUGCUUCCAGGAAAAGCCUCUAAGCAUCAGGUAACAUCAAAUCGUACCCCAAACCGACACAGGUGGUCAGGUAGAGAAUACCAAGGCGCUUGAGAGAACUCGGGUGAAGGAACUAGGCAAAAUGGUGCCGUAACUUCGGGAGAAGGCACGCUGGUGUGUAGGUGAAGUCCCUGCGGAUGGAGCUGAGACCAGUCGAAGAUACCAGCUGGCUGCAACUGUUUAUUAAAAACACAGCACUGUGCAAACACGAAAGUGGACGUAUACGGUGUGACGCCUGCCCGGUGCCGGAAGGUUAAUUGAUGGGGUUAUCCGUAAGGAGAAGCUCUUGAUCGAAGCCCCGGUAAACGGCGGCCGUAACUAUAACGGUCCUAAGGUAGCGAAAUUCCUUGUCGGGUAAGUUCCGACCUGCACGAAUGGCGUAAUGAUGGCCAGGCUGUCUCCACCCGAGACUCAGUGAAAUUGAACUCGCUGUGAAGAUGCAGUGUACCCGCGGCAAGACGGAAAGACCCCGUGAACCUUUACUAUAGCUUGACACUGAACAUUGAGCCUUGAUGUGUAGGAUAGGUGGGAGGCUUUGAAGCGUGGACGCCAGUCUGCGUGGAGCCAACCUUGAAAUACCACCCUUUAAUGUUUGAUGUUCUAACGUGGGCCCCUAAUCGGGGUUGCGGACAGUGUCUGGUGGGUAGUUUGACUGGGGCGGUCUCCUCCCAAAGCGUAACGGAGGAGCACGAAGGUUAGCUAAUCCUGGUCGGACAUCAGGAGGUUAGUGCAAUGGCAUAAGCUAGCUUGACUGCGAGCGUGACGGCGCGAGCAGGUGCGAAAGCAGGUCAUAGUGAUCCGGUGGUUCUGAAUGGAAGGGCCAUCGCUCAACGGAUAAAAGGUACUCCGGGGAUAACAGGCUGAUACCGCCCAAGAGUUCAUAUCGACGGCGGUGUUUGGCACCUCGAUGUCGGCUCAUCACAUCCUGGGGCUGAAGUAGGUCCCAAGGGUAUGGCUGUUCGCCAUUUAAAGUGGUACGCGAGCUGGGUUUAGAACGUCGUGAGACAGUUCGGUCCCUAUCUGCCGUGGGCGCUGGAGAAUUGAGGGGGGCUGCUCCUAGUACGAGAGGACCGGAGUGGACGCAUCACUGGUGUUCGGGUUGUCAUGCCAAUGGCACUGCCCGGUAGCUAAAUGCGGAAGAGAUAAGUGCUGAAAGCAUCUAAGCACGAAACUUGCCCCGAGAUGAGUUCUCCCUGAGACUAUAAGUCUCCUGAAGGAACGUUGAAGACGACGACGUUGAUAGGCCGGGUGUGUAAGCGCAGCGAUGCGUUGAGCUAACCGGUACUAAUGAACCGUGAGGCUUAACCUU